AACGAACGCUGGCGGCAUGCCUAACACAUGCAAGUCGAACGAGACCUUCGGGUCUAGUGGCGCACGGGUGCGUAACGCGUGGGAUCCUGCCCUUAUGUUCGGCAUAACUCUCCGAAAGGGGUGCUAAUACCGGAUAAUGUCUUCGGCCCAAAGAUUUAUUGCCUUUGGAUGGGCGCGCGUUGAAUUCGCUCGUGGUGAGGGUAAAAGCCUAACACGGCGUCGAUCAAUAGCUGGUCUGAGAGGAUGAUCAGCCACACUGGGACUGAGAAACGGCCCAGAAUCCUACGGGAGGCAGCAGUGGGGAAUAUUGGACAGUGGGCGAAAGCCUGAUCGAGCAAUGCCGCGUGAGUGAUGAAGGCCUUAGGGUUGUAAAGCUCUUUUAACCGGGAUGAUAAUGACAGUACCGGGAGAAUAAGCUCCGGCUAACUACGUG
Molecule: ribosomal RNA, 433 nt
Filed under: uncultured bacterium
Lineage: Bacteria
Description: partial 16S ribosomal RNA
Rfam family: Bacterial small subunit ribosomal RNA
Source: RNAcentral